This is a small nuclear RNA of Lagopus muta (rock ptarmigan), 164 nucleotides long. RefSeq annotates it as U1 spliceosomal RNA. NCBI's taxonomy places the organism in Eukaryota, Metazoa, Chordata, Aves, Galliformes, Phasianidae. The record is from RefSeq and is a predicted model, not a curated record. The transcript has a single exon.
GUACUUACCUGGCAGGGGAGACACUAUGAUCAGGGAGGUGGUUUUCCCAGGACGAGGCUCAUCCCCUGCUCUCCAGUGUGCUGGCCCCUGUAAUUUCCCCAAAUAUGGGAAACUCAGCUGCAUAAUUUGUGAUAGUGGGGGGACUGUGUUUGUGCUAAACUACC